Molecule: ribosomal RNA, 753 nt
Filed under: uncultured Zoogloea sp.
Lineage: Bacteria; Pseudomonadati; Pseudomonadota; Betaproteobacteria; Rhodocyclales; Zoogloeaceae
Description: bacterial SSU rRNA
Rfam family: Bacterial small subunit ribosomal RNA
Source: RNAcentral
AUUGAACGCUGGCGGCAUGCUUUACACAUGCAAGUCGAACGGUAACAGGGAGCUUGCUCCGCUGACGAGUGGCGAACGGGUGAGUAAUGCAUCGGAACGUACCGUGUAAUGGGGGAUAACGUAGCGAAAGUUACGCUAAUACCGCAUACGCCCUGAGGGGGAAAGUGGGGGACCGCAAGGCCUCACGUUAUACGAGCGGCCGAUGUCGGAUUAGCUAGUUGGUGGGGUAAAGGCCUACCAAGGCGACGAUCCGUAGCGGGUCUGAGAGGAUGAUCCGCCACACUGGGACUGAGACACGGCCCAGACUCCUACGGGAGGCAGCAGUGGGGAAUUUUGGACAAUGGGGGCAACCCUGAUCCAGCCAUGCCGCGUGAGUGAAGAAGGCCUUCGGGUUGUAAAGCUCUUUCAGGUGGAAAGAAAUCUCCUGGGUGAAUACCCCGGGAGGAUGACGGUACCAUCAGAAGAAGCACCGGCUAACUACGUGCCAGCAGCCGCGGUAAUACGUAGGGUGCGAGCGUUAAUCGGAAUUACUGGGCGUAAAGCGUGCGCAGGCGGUUGUGUAAGACAGAUGUGAAAUCCCCGGGCUCAACCUGGGAACUGCGUUUGUGACUGCACAACUAGAGUACGGCAGAGGGAGGUGGAAUUCCGCGUGUAGCAGUGAAAUGCGUAGAGAUGCGGAGGAACACCGAUGGCGAAGGCAGCCUCCUGGGCCAGUACUGACGCUCAUGCACGAAAGCGUGGGGAGCAAACAGG